This is a long non-coding RNA of Manihot esculenta (cassava), 838 nucleotides long. RefSeq lists it as uncharacterized. Lineage: Eukaryota; Viridiplantae; Streptophyta; Magnoliopsida; Malpighiales; Euphorbiaceae. The record is from RefSeq and is a predicted model, not a curated record. The transcript is spliced from 2 exons.
UUAUUUGACAAUUUACAAUGAUAGGAAAAAGUUAAAAAUAAAAAGAAAGAAAAGCAACUCCACUAAGAAGCAAUUAUGCAAGCGUUGAGGCCCCCACAACAUGUGAUUUUUUUUUCUUGUUCCCACGUUUUUGCUAGUCAAUGACGGCUGCCAUUAUAAGUACUGCCCUUAGAGCUCAUCGUUUGGAGCACACAACAAGCUAGUUAGUUCAUUAUAAAACAGAGUUAUUUAGAGAGCAUUAAUUCAAGCAAGAUAAAUUUCUUUUUCUCCUUUAGUUUUCUUCAUGGCUCUACUGGGUAGUUUUAUUCCGAAGGCCUUGCUUCCAUCGGCCACUUCCACCAGACUCAGCUAUUAUCUACGUAAAGCUAUGAUCAUAACAUAUUGUGAUGGAACAAAAGGAACUUCCUCAGGAAGUCAACCACAACACAACGGAAACCCUUCCUCAGGAAGUGGUUCAACAAACAACCGAGUUGUCAGAAUGCAUGGAAGAUUUGACUUUAAACAGGAGUACUUAAUAUUUUCUGGCCGUAGAUGGAAUGCUGUUGAAGAUAAUAAUAAUGAAGAAGCAUAUCACUCCAAGUAUAUCCAGACAAAAUUCCUCAAGUGCCUACAAAAUAUGUGAUGCUCUCUUGAAUAAGCUUCACCGCCGCCAUUUGAAUAAGCUUCACUAAAGAGUGAGUGUGCAUGAGUGACUGUAAGCAGUGUCUUUUAGUGCGUGUACGUGAGAAUGAGAGAAGAAAAAAAAAUAAUUUUCAGUUUUCAAAGUGUGAGCUUAGAAUGUAAAAUUUCAGUUUAGUCCUUAUCAAUAAGAGAUUUCUUCACUCAAUUCCUUUUUUCA